CGGCAAAAGAUGAGCAUGCGUCCCAUUAGCUUGUUGGUAAGGUAACGGCUUACCAAGGCAACGAUGGGUAGGGGUCCUGAGAGGGAGAUCCCCCACACUGGUACUGAGACACGGACCAGACUCCUACGGGAGGCAGCAGUGAGGAAUAUUGGACAAUGGGCGCAAGCCUGAUCCAGCCAUACCGCGUGGGUGAAGAAGGCCUUCGGGUUGUAAAGCCCUUUUGUUGGGAAAGAAAUCCAGCUGGUUAAUACCCGGUUGGGAUGACGGUACCCAAAGAAUAAGCACCGGCUAACUUCGUGCCAGCAGCCGCGGUAAUACGAAGGGUGCAAGCGUUACUCGGAAUUACUGGGCGUAAAGCGUGCGUAGGUGGUCGUUUAAGUCUGUUGUGAAAGCCCUGGGGCUCAACCUGGGAACUGCAGUGGAAACUGGACGACUACAGUGUGUUAAA
This 448-nucleotide ribosomal RNA is filed under the name uncultured bacterium. Its description in RNAcentral is "bacterial SSU rRNA". It matches the Rfam family "Bacterial small subunit ribosomal RNA", at positions 216 to 655 of the family's 1533-position model. The record is from RNAcentral.